Molecule: ribosomal RNA, 431 nt
Filed under: uncultured Janthinobacterium sp.
Lineage: Bacteria; Pseudomonadati; Pseudomonadota; Betaproteobacteria; Burkholderiales; Oxalobacteraceae
Description: bacterial SSU rRNA
Rfam family: Bacterial small subunit ribosomal RNA
Source: RNAcentral
GGAAUUUUGGACAAUGGGCGAAAGCCUGAUCCAGCAAUGCCGCGUGAGUGAAGAAGGCCUUCGGGUUGUAACCUCUUUCAGUAGGGAACAAGGCCAGCAUUUUUGUUGGUUGAGGGUACUUGCAGAAGAAGCGCCGGCUAACUACGUGCCAGCAGCCGCGGUAACACGUAGGGUGCAAGCGUUAAUCGGAAUUACUGGGCGUAAAGCGUGCGCAGGCGGUUUUGUAAGUCUGAUGUGAAAUCCCCGGGCUCAACCUGGGAAUUGCAUUGGAGACUGCAAGGCUAGAAUCUGGCAGAGGGGGGUAGAAUUCCACGUGUAGCAGUGAAAUGCGUAGAUAUGUGGAGGAACACCGAUGGCGAAGGCAGCCCCCUGGGUCAAGAUUGACGCUCAUGCACGAAAGCGUGGGGAGCAAACAGGAUUAGAUACCCUAG